AGAGUUUGAUCCUGGCUCAGGAUGAACGCUAGCUACAGGCUUAACACAUGCAAGUCGAGGGGAAACGACAUCGAAAGCUUGCUUUUGAUGGGCGUCGACCGGCGCACGGGUGAGUAACGCGUAUCCAACCUGCCCACCACUUGGGGAUAACCUUGCGAAAGUAAGACUAAUACCCAAUGACGUCUCUAGAAGACAUCUGAAAGAGAUUAAAGAUUUAUCGGUGAUGGAUGGGGAUGCGUCUGAUUAGCUUGUUGGCGGGGUAACGGCCCACCAAGGCGACGAUCAGUAGGGGUUCUGAGAGGAAGGUCCCCCACAUUGGAACUGAGACACGGUCCAAACUCCUACGGGAGGCAGCAGUGAGGAAUAUUGGUCAAUGGACGAGAGUCUGAACCAGCCAAGUAGCGUGCAGGAUGACGGCCCUAUGGGUUGUAAACUGCUUUUAUAAGGGAAUAAAGUGAGUCUCGUGAGACUUUUUGCAUGUACCUUAUGAAUAAGGACCGGCUAAUUCCGUGCCAGCAGCCGCGGUAAUACGGAAGGUCCGGGCGUUAUCCGGAUUUAUUGGGUUUAAAGGGAGCGUAGGCCGGAGAUUAAGCGUGUUGUGAAAUGUAGACGCUCAACGUCUGCACUGCAGCGCGAACUGGUUUCCUUGAGUACGCACAAAGUGGGCGGAAUUCGUGGUGUAGCGGUGAAAUGCUUAGAUAUCACGAAGAACUCCGAUUGCGAAGGCAGCUCACUGGAGCGCAACUGACGCUGAAGCUCGAAAGUGCGGGUAUCGAACAGGAUUAGAUACCCUGGUAGUCCGCACGGUAAACGAUGGAUGCCCGCUGUUGGUCUGAAUAGGUCAGCGGCCAAGCGAAAGCAUUAAGCAUCCCACCUGGGGAGUACGCCGGCAACGGUGAAACUCAAAGGAAUUGACGG
RNAcentral lists this ribosomal RNA (918 nucleotides) under uncultured bacterium. RNAcentral's name for it is "bacterial SSU rRNA". It matches the Rfam family "Bacterial small subunit ribosomal RNA", at positions 8 to 916 of the family's 1533-position model. The record is from RNAcentral.